GAUGAACGCUGGCGGCGUGCCUAAUACAUGCAAGUCGAGCGAACGGACGAGAAGCUUGCUUUUCUGAUGUUAGCGGCGGACGGGUGAGUAACACGUGGAUAACCUACCUAUAAGACUGGGAUAACUUCGGGAAACCGGAGCUACUACCGGAUCAUAUUUUGAACCGCAUGGUUCAAAAGUGAAAGACGGUCUUGCUGUCACUUAUAGAUGGAUCCGCGCUGCAUUAGCUAGUUGGUAAGGUAACGGCUUACCAAGGCAACGAUGCAUAGCCGACCUGAGAGGGUGAUCGGCCACACUGGAACUGAGGCACGGUCCAGACUCCUACGGGAGGCAGCAGUAGGGAAUCUUCCGCAAUGGGCGAAAGCCUGACGGAGCAACGCCGCGUGAGUGAUGAAGGUCUUCGGAUCGUAAAACUCUGUUAUUAGGGAAGAACAUAUGUGUAAGUAACUGUGCACAUCUUGACGGUACCUAAUCAGAAAGCCACGGCUAACUACGUG
RNAcentral lists this ribosomal RNA (497 nucleotides) under uncultured bacterium. RNAcentral describes it as "partial 16S ribosomal RNA". It matches the Rfam family "Bacterial small subunit ribosomal RNA", at positions 28 to 507 of the family's 1533-position model. The record is from RNAcentral.